GAGUUUGAUCGUGGCUCAGGACGAACGCUGGCGGCGUGCCUAACACAUGCAAGUCGAACGGGGAAGGGGAGCUUGCUCCCCGGACCUAGUGGCGGACGGGUGAGUAACGCGUGAGCAACCUGCCUUCAAGAGGGGGAUAACAUUCUGAAAAGGAUGCUAAUACCGCAUAACCUUCUUUUCCGCAUGGGGAGGGAAGCAAAGGAGCAAUCCGCUUGAAGAUGGGCUCGCGUCCGAUUAGCUGGUUGGAGGGUAACGCCCACCAAGGCGACGAUCGGUAGCCGGACUGAGAGGUUGAACGGCCACAUUGGGACUGAGACACGGCCCAGACUCC
This 331-nucleotide ribosomal RNA is filed under the name uncultured bacterium. Its description in RNAcentral is "bacterial SSU rRNA". It matches the Rfam family "Bacterial small subunit ribosomal RNA", at positions 9 to 339 of the family's 1533-position model. The record is from RNAcentral.